Molecule: ribosomal RNA, 252 nt
Filed under: uncultured bacterium
Lineage: Bacteria
Description: partial 16S ribosomal RNA
Rfam family: Bacterial small subunit ribosomal RNA
Source: RNAcentral
UACGGAGGAUGCGAGCGUUAUCCGGAUUUAUUGGGUUUAAAGGGUGCGUAGGCGGACUGUCUAGUCAGCGGUAAAAUUGAGAGGCUCAACCUCUUCCCGCCGUUGAAACUGGUGGUCUUGAGUGGAUGAGAAGUACGCGGAAUGCGUGGUGUAGCGGUGAAAUGCAUAGAUAUCACGCAGAACCCCGAUUGCGAAGGCAGCGUACCGGCAUCCAACUGACGCUGAGGCACGAAAGCGUGGGGAUCAAACAGG